RNAcentral lists this ribosomal RNA (254 nucleotides) under uncultured bacterium. RNAcentral's name for it is "partial 16S ribosomal RNA". It matches the Rfam family "Bacterial small subunit ribosomal RNA", at positions 524 to 776 of the family's 1533-position model. The record is from RNAcentral.
UACAGAGGGUGCGAGCGUUGUCCGGAAUCACUGGGCGUAAAGGGCGCGUAGGUGGCGACCCAAGUCGAUGGUGAAAGCUCGCCGCUCAACGGCGAGUCGGCCACCGAUACUGGGUUGCUGGAGCACUGUAGAGGCUCAUGGAAUUCCGGGUGUAGCGGUGGAAUGCGCAGAUAUCGGGAGGAACACCAGUAGCGAAGGCGGCACUCUGGGCCGGUACUGGACGCUGAGGAGCGAAAGCGUGGGGAGCAAACAGG